UGGGGAAUAUUGCGCAAUGGGCGAAAGCCUGACGCAGCGACGCCGCGUGGGGGAGGAAGGCCCCAGGGUUGUAAACCCCUGUCAGGUGGGACGAACCCCGGUACGUCGAACAGGCGUACCGACUGACGGUACCACCAGAGGAAGCUCCGGCCAACUACGUGCCAGCAGCCGCGGUAAUACGUAGGGUCCUAGCGUUAUCCGGAAUCAUUGGGCGUAAAGAGCUCGUAGGCGGUUCAGCAAGUCGGCUGUGAAAGUCCGAGGCUCAACCUCGGAAUUGCAGUCGAUACUGCUGUGACUCGAGUCCGGUAGAGGAGAAUGGAAUUCUCGGUGUAGCGGUGAAAUGCGCAGAUAUCGAGAGGAACACCAGUAGCGAAGGCGGUUCUCUGGGCCGGCACUGACGCUGAGGAGCGAAAGCGUGGGGAGCAA
RNAcentral lists this ribosomal RNA (426 nucleotides) under uncultured bacterium. Its description in RNAcentral is "bacterial SSU rRNA". It matches the Rfam family "Bacterial small subunit ribosomal RNA", at positions 355 to 771 of the family's 1533-position model. The record is from RNAcentral.